AGACCCGAAACCCGGUGAUCUAGCCAUGGGCAGGUUGAAGGUUGGGUAACACUAACUGGAGGACCGAACCGACUAAUGUUGAAAAAUUAGCGGAUGACCUGUGGCUGGGGGUGAAAGGCCAAUCAAACCGGGAGAUAGCUGGUUCUCCCCGAAAGCUAUUUAGGUAGCGCCUCGUGAAUUCAUCUCCGGGGGUAGAGCACUGUUUCGGCUAGGGGGCCAUCCCGGCUUACCAACCCGAUGCAAACUGCGAAUACCGGAGAAUGUUAUCACGGGAGACACACGGCGGGUGCUAACGUCCGUCGUGAAGAGGGAAACAACCCAGACCGCCAGCUAAGGUCCCAAAGUCAUGGUUAAGUGGGAAACGAUGUGGGAAGGCCCAGACAGCCAGGAUGUUGGCUUAGAAGCAGCCAUCAUUUAAAGAAAGCGUAAUAGCUCACUGGUCGAGUCGGCCUGCGCGGAAGAUGUAACGGGGCUAAACCAUGCACCGAAGCUGCGGCAGCGACACUCAGGUGUUGUUGGGUAGGGGAGCGUUCUGUAAGCCUGUGAAGGUGGCCUGUGAGGGUUGCUGGAGGUAUCAGAAGUGCGAAUGCUGACAUAAGUAACGAUAAAGCGGGUGAAAAGCCCGCUCGCCGGAAGACCAAGGGUUCCUGUCCAACGUUAAUCGGGGCAGGGUGAGUCGACCCCUAAGGCGAGGCCGAAAGGCGUAGUCGAUGGGAAACGGGUUAAUAUUCCCGUACUUGGUGUUACUGCGAAGGGGGGACGGAGAAGGCUAUGUUGGCCGGGCGACGGUUGUCCCGGUUUAAGCGUGUAGGUGUGUGUUCCAGGUAAAUCCGGUUCACUUUAACACUGAGGCGUGACGACGAGGCACUACGGUGCUGAAGCAACAAAUGCCCUGCUUCCAGGAAAAGCCUCUAAGCAUCAGGUAACAUCAAAUCGUACCCCAAACCGACACAGGUGGUCAGGUAGAGAAUACCAAGGCGCUUGAGAGAACUCGGGUGAAGGAACUAGGCAAAAUGGUGCCGUAACUUCGGGAGAAGGCACGCUGACACGUAGGUGAAGUGAUUUACUCACGGAGCUGAAGUCAGUCGAAGAUACCAGCUGGCUGCAAC
RNAcentral lists this ribosomal RNA (1109 nucleotides) under Salmonella enterica subsp. enterica serovar Braenderup. RNAcentral describes it as "partial 23S ribosomal RNA". It matches the Rfam family "Bacterial large subunit ribosomal RNA", at positions 711 to 1800 of the family's 2925-position model. Lineage: Bacteria; Pseudomonadati; Pseudomonadota; Gammaproteobacteria; Enterobacterales; Enterobacteriaceae. The record is from RNAcentral.